Molecule: ribosomal RNA, 511 nt
Filed under: Amolops daorum
Lineage: Eukaryota; Metazoa; Chordata; Amphibia; Anura; Ranidae
Description: partial 12S ribosomal RNA
Rfam family: Bacterial small subunit ribosomal RNA
Source: RNAcentral
GCCCAGCCGUAAACAAUUAAUCCACAACCACAAGCGCCAGGGAAUUACGAGCCGAGCUUAAAACCCAAAGGAUUUGACGGUGUCCCACCCCCCUAGAGGAGCCUGUUCUAUAAUCGAUGAUCCCCGCUACACCCGACCAUUUCUUGCUUAUUCAGUCUGUAUACCUCCGUCGAAAGCUUACCAUGUGAACGCCCCCACAGUAGGUUCAAUGAUCCCCGUCAAUACGUCAGGUCAAGGUGCAGCUUAAGAAAUGGGAAGCGAUGGGCUACAAUUUCAACCUAGAACAAACGAAAGGCUAUGUGAAACCAUAGUCACGAAGGCGGAUUUAGUAGUAAAAAGAAAAUAGAGUGUUCUUUUUACCUGGCUCUGGGACGCGUACACACCGCCCGUCACCCUCUUCGAUAGUGCUAACCCACAGUCCAUAACCUAUUUAUACGUCUGAGAAGAGGCAAGUCGUAACAUGGUAAGUGUACUGGAAGGUGCACUUGGUAUAUUACAAAAUAUAGCUUAA